RNAcentral lists this non-coding RNA (107 nucleotides) under Trichococcus flocculiformis. The record is from RNAcentral. Lineage: Bacteria; Bacillati; Bacillota; Bacilli; Lactobacillales; Carnobacteriaceae.
GAAAGCCGUAUGAGGGAAAACUUCACGUACGGUUUGAUGAGGGGGAGCUGAAAGUAAAACAACGACCCGCUAAGGAGUCGUUGUUAGAAAUCAGUCCUCUACUCUAC